This 435-nucleotide ribosomal RNA is filed under the name uncultured Alphaproteobacteria bacterium. RNAcentral describes it as "bacterial SSU rRNA". It matches the Rfam family "Bacterial small subunit ribosomal RNA", at positions 43 to 526 of the family's 1533-position model. The record is from RNAcentral. Lineage: Bacteria; Pseudomonadati; Pseudomonadota; Alphaproteobacteria.
CAGGCCUAACACAUGCAAGUCGAGCGCCCCGCAAGGGGAGCGGCAGACGGGAGAGUAACACGUGGGAACGUACCCUUCAGUUCGGAACAACCCAGGGAAACUUGGGCUAAUACCGAAUACGUCCGUAAGGAGAAAGAUUUAUCGCUGAAGGAUCGGCCCGCGUCUGAUUAGCUUGUUGGUGAGGUAACGGCUCACCAAGGCGACGAUCAGUAGCUGGUCUGAGAGGAUGAUCAGCCUCACUGGGACUGAGACACGGCCCAGACUCCUACGGGAGGCAGCAGUGGGGAAUAUUGGACAAUGGGCGCAAGCCUGAUCCAGCCAUGCCGCGUGGGUGAUGAAGGCCCUAGGGUUGUAAAGCCCUUUCGGCGGGGAAGAUAAUGACGGUACCCGCAGAAGAAGCCCCGGCUAACUUCGUGCCAGCAGCCGCGGUAAUAC